Long non-coding RNA from Orcinus orca (killer whale), 688 nucleotides. RefSeq lists it as uncharacterized. NCBI's taxonomy places the organism in Eukaryota, Metazoa, Chordata, Mammalia, Artiodactyla, Delphinidae. The record is from RefSeq and is a predicted model, not a curated record. The transcript has 3 exons.
CUUAAAGCAGAAGUGCUAAGAAAAGUUAACUUGACAAAGAUCACACAGUUAGGAAGUAAAAAGCCAGAGUUUUGACGCUCUGGUGACCUAUGUUCAUUCCACAUCAUGCAGCCUUAUGGAUGCUCUAAGGCUGACCUGAUCAGAAAGAGGAGACAAGCGAGAUCAUGGACCAAACUGCUGGGGACGGAAGUAUCUGGGAAUGUCAUCUCAAUUCCAGUUUGGGAUUUUCUGGUCAGCACCAAUGAAGUAAUCUGCCAAGUAGACCCUUUUUCAUUCCCCAGAGGAAGAUGAGUUCAAAUCUCAGCUCUGGUGAAAACUCUUGACGAAGCUAUUUAACCUCAGUUUUCUCAUCUAUAAAAUGGGCUAGGGACUUCCCCCGUGGCUCAGUGGUUAAGGAUCUGUCUGCCAAUGCAGGGGACGUGGGUUUGAGCCCUGGUCUGGGAAGAUCCCACAUGCCACGGAGCAACUAAGGCCAUGUGCCACAUCUACUAAAGCCCACGCGCCUAGAGCCUGUGCUCUGCAACAAGAGAAGCCACCGCAAUGAGAAGGCCACGCACCGCAACGAAGAGUAGCCCCCGCUCGCCGCAACUGGAGAAAGCCCGCACACAGCAACAAAGACACAACGCAGCCAAAAAUCAAUAAAUCAAUAAAUAAACUUAAAAAUAAAAUAAAAUAAAAUGGGCUAAUA